CCUACGGGUGGCAGCAGCGGGGAAUAUUGCGCAAUGGGCGAAAGCCUGACGCAGCAACGCCGCGUGAGGGAUGAAGGCUCUCGGGUUGUAAACCUCUUUCAGCAGGGACGAUUGUGACGGUACCUGCAGAAGAAGCCCCGGCCAACUACGUGCCAGCAGCCGCGGUGAUACGUAGGGGGCGAGCGUUGUCCGGAUUUAUUGGGCGUAAAGAGCUCGUAGGUGGUUCGAUAAGUCGGGUGUGAAAACUCUGGGCUUAACUCAGAGACGCCACCUGAUACUGUCGUGACUUGAGUCUGGUAGGGGAGUGUGGAAUUCCCGGUGUAGCGGUGAAAUGCGCAGAUAUCGGGAGGAACACCAGUGGCGAAGGCGGCACUCUGGGCCAGUACUGACACUGAGGAGCGAAAGCGUGGGUAGCGAACAGGAUUAGAUACCCCAGUAGU
Molecule: ribosomal RNA, 440 nt
Filed under: uncultured bacterium
Lineage: Bacteria
Description: bacterial SSU rRNA
Rfam family: Bacterial small subunit ribosomal RNA
Source: RNAcentral